CCUACGGGUGGCAGCAGUGGGGAAUAUUGGACAAUGGGGAGAACCCUGAUCCAGCCAUGCCGCGUGUGUGAAGAAGGCCCUCGGGUUGUAAAGCACUUUCAGUGAGGAAGAACGCCUGGUGGUUAAUACCCAUCAGGAAAGACAUCACUCACAGAAGAAGCACCGGCUAACUCCGUGCCAGCAGCCGCGGUAAUACGGAGGGUGCGAGCGUUAAUCGGAAUUACUGGGCGUAAAGCGCGCGUAGGUGGCUUGAUAAGCCGGUUGUGAAAGCCCCGGGCUCAACCUGGGAACGGCAUCCGGAACUGUCAAGCUAGAGUGCAGGAGAGGUAGGUAGAAUUCCCGGUGUAGCGGUGAAAUGCGUAGAGAUCGGGAGGAAUACCAGUGGCGAAGGCGGCCUUCUGGACUGACACUGACACUGAGGUGCGAAAGCGUGGGUAGCAAACAGGAUUAGAUACCCUGGUAGUC
This 465-nucleotide ribosomal RNA is filed under the name Vreelandella stevensii. RNAcentral's name for it is "partial 16S ribosomal RNA". It matches the Rfam family "Bacterial small subunit ribosomal RNA", at positions 338 to 795 of the family's 1533-position model. The record is from RNAcentral. Lineage: Bacteria; Pseudomonadati; Pseudomonadota; Gammaproteobacteria; Oceanospirillales; Halomonadaceae.